This 776-nucleotide ribosomal RNA is filed under the name uncultured Neocallimastigales. RNAcentral describes it as "partial large subunit ribosomal RNA". It matches the Rfam family "Eukaryotic large subunit ribosomal RNA", at positions 23 to 648 of the family's 3401-position model. The record is from RNAcentral. Lineage: Eukaryota; Fungi; Neocallimastigomycota; Neocallimastigomycetes; Neocallimastigales.
AUAGAGACUCAGAGCUGCAUAUCAAUAAGCGGAGGAAAAGAAACUAACAAGGAUUCCCUUAGUAACGGCGAGUGAAGCGGGAAGAGCUCAAAUUUGAAAUCUUCAAGGUUUUACCUUGACGAAUUGUAGUUUAAAGAAGUGUUUUCUGUUGGAGUUUUGGUAAAAGUUCCUUGGAAUAGGACAUCAUAGAGGGUGAGAAUCCCGUAUUUGACUUAUUCAUUCUAGCUUUGUGAUACACUUUCAAAGAGUCGGAUUGUUUGGGAAUGCAGUCCAAAAUGGGUGGUAAAUUUCAUCUAAAGCUAAAUAUUGGCGAGAGACCGAUAGCGAACAAGUACCGUGAGGGAAAGAUGAAAAGAACUUUGAAAAGAGAGUUAAACAGUACGUGAAAUUGUCAAAAGGGAAGCGUUUGACACCAGUGUUGUUUUUCUCGAAAAUCAAUUACGAAUGGCUUGAUUUUGUGUUGUAUUGACCUUAUCAGCUUUCUGCACUUUUUUCGAGUCUUUCUUAAUGCACUUUUUGGUUAACAAGUCAACAUCAGUUUCUUUUGUUGUAAAAGAGUAUUCGGAAGGUGGCUUUCUUUUCGGAGAAAGUGUUUAUAGCCCUAUACUUCUACAAUCGGAGAGAUUGAGGUCUGCAGCGUAGAUCCUUCGGGGUUAGAUACACUUGUGCUAAGUUGUAGCUUUUCAUAGACAACUUGUUGACUAUGUUUAGUCAUGCGGCUUACUCGCUUGUGCUAUUUUACCUACGCUUAGGAUGUUGACGAUCAGCUGAGCGCG